RNAcentral lists this ribosomal RNA (919 nucleotides) under Micraspis acicola. RNAcentral's name for it is "eukaryotic LSU rRNA". It matches the Rfam family "Eukaryotic large subunit ribosomal RNA", at positions 43 to 979 of the family's 3401-position model. Lineage: Eukaryota; Fungi; Ascomycota; Leotiomycetes; Micraspidales; Micraspidaceae. The record is from RNAcentral.
UCAAUAAGCGGAGGAAAAGAAACCAACAGGGAUUGCCUCAGUAACGGCGAGUGAAGCGGCAACAGCUCAAAUUUGAAAUCUGGCUCUUUCAGGGUCCGAGUUGUAAUUUGUAGAAGAUGCUUCGGGCGUGGCUCCGGUCUAAGUUCCUUGGAACAGGACGUCAUAGAGGGUGAGAAUCCCGUAUGUGACUGGGUGCCUAUGCUCAUGUGAAGCUCUUUCGACGAGUCGAGUUGUUUGGGAAUGCAGCUCUAAAUGGGUGGUAAAUUUCAUCUAAAGCUAAAUACUGGCCAGAGACCGAUAGCGCACAAGUAGAGUGAUCGAAAGAUGAAAAGCACUUUGGAAAGAGAGUUAAACAGUACGUGAAAUUGUUGAAAGGGAAGCGCUUGCAACCAGACUUGCAUGCAGCUGAUCAUCCGGUGUUCUCACCGGUGCACUCAGCUGUGUUCAGGCCAGCAUCGGUUUCGGUGGUUGGAUAAAGGCCUUGGGAAUGUAGCUUCCUUCGGGGAGUGUUAUAGCCCGCGGUGCAAUGCAGCCUACUGGGACCGAGGACCGCGCUUCGGCUAGGAUGCUGGCGUAAUGGUUGUAAGCGACCCGUCUUGAAACACGGACCAAGGAGUCUAACAUCUAUGCGAGUGUUUGGGUGUCAAACCCAUACGCGUAAUGAAAGUGAACGGAGGUGAGAACUCUUAAGAGUGCAUCAUCGACCGAUCCUGAUGUCUUCGGAUGGAUUUGAGUAAGAGCAUAGCUGUUGGGACCCGAAAGAUGGUGAACUAUACUUGAAUAGGGUGAAGCCAGAGGAAACUCUGGUGGAGGCUCGCAGCGGUUCUGACGUGCAAAUCGAUCGUCAAAUUUGGGUAUAGGGGCGAAAGACUAAUCGAACCAUCUAGUAGCUGGUUCCUGCCGAAGUUUCCCUCAGGAA